RNAcentral lists this long non-coding RNA (235 nucleotides) under Sinocyclocheilus anshuiensis. RNAcentral's name for it is "lncRNA (ENSSANG00000036067.1)". The record is from RNAcentral. Lineage: Eukaryota; Metazoa; Chordata; Actinopteri; Cypriniformes; Cyprinidae.
CUUCCGCAUAGACAGUGGAAAAAGAAUGGCCUUUGUAAUUGACCAAAACGAAAAGGUUUCAGUUGGGUGUCAGGAUAAUCCAUAUGGAUUUAAUGGUGCGGUGGUGUAUGGAGAUGAAACCUAUGGCAUGACCUCAAGAUGUAUCCCAGAUAUGACUGGCUACAAUCAAUACCUAACUAGGUAGGUCUAUAAAAUUAAUUGAAAGAAAUGAAUCUUAUGCAGGCUACUCUACUAA